This 494-nucleotide ribosomal RNA is filed under the name uncultured bacterium. Its description in RNAcentral is "partial 16S ribosomal RNA". It matches the Rfam family "Bacterial small subunit ribosomal RNA", at positions 28 to 507 of the family's 1533-position model. The record is from RNAcentral.
GACGAACGCUGGCGGCGCGCUUAACACAUGCAAGUCGAACGGAAAGGCCUGCUUUCCCUUGUGGAUUGCGGGUACUCGAGUGGCGAACGGGUGAGUAACACGUGAGUGAUCUGCCCCCAACUUGGGUAUAAGCCUGGGAAACUGGGUCUAAUUCCCGAUAGGACUGCAGGGUGGUGCCUGUGGUGGAAAACGAUUUUCUAGUGGUUGGGGAUGAGCUCGCGGCCUAUCAGCUUGUUGGUGGGGUAAUGGCCUACCAAGGCGGCGACGGGUAGCCGGCCUGGGAGGGUGGACGGCCACAUUGGGACUGAGAUACGGCCCAGACUCCUACGGGAUGCAUCAGUGGGGAAUAUUGGACCAUGGGCGGAAGCCUGAUGCAGCGACGCCGCGUAGGGAAUGACGGACUUCGGGUUGUAAACUCCUUUCGACCGCGAGGAAGCCACCUGGUUGGAAGGGUGGUGACGGUAGUGGUAGAAGAAGCACCGGCUAACUACGUG